This 315-nucleotide ribosomal RNA is filed under the name Triticum aestivum (bread wheat). Its description in RNAcentral is "partial small subunit ribosomal RNA". The record is from RNAcentral. Lineage: Eukaryota; Viridiplantae; Streptophyta; Magnoliopsida; Poales; Poaceae.
AUGGCGGACCGGGUGGCGAAGCUGGCGUCGCAGCGUGCGGUGGUGAUCUUCGGGGUGAGCAAUUGCUGCAUGUGCCACGUGGUGAAGACACUCUUCACAGAGAUGGGCGUGAGCUGGAUGGCGCACGAGCUGGACAAGGACCCCCACGGGAAGGACGUCGAGAGGGCGCUCGCCGGCAUUGUCGGACGGAGCCCGCCCGUGCCGGCGGUUUUCAUUGGCGGCAGGCUCGUCGGAACCACCGACCAGGUCAUGACGCUGCACCUCGGCGGCCAGCUUGUGCCGCUGCUCCGCCAGGCUGGCGCCCUCUGGCUCUGA